RNAcentral lists this ribosomal RNA (408 nucleotides) under uncultured bacterium. RNAcentral's name for it is "partial 16S ribosomal RNA". It matches the Rfam family "Bacterial small subunit ribosomal RNA", at positions 359 to 774 of the family's 1533-position model. The record is from RNAcentral.
GAAUAUUUCGCAAUGGAGGAAACUCUGACGCAGCGACGCCGCGUGAGCGAUGAAGGUUUUCGGAUCGUAAAGCUCUGUCCUUGGGGAAGAAGGUCUUCGGACUUGACGGUACCCAAGAAGAAAGCCCCGGCUAACUACGUGCCAGCAGCCGCGGUAAUACGUAGGGGGCAAGCGUUGUACGGAAUUAUUGGGCGUAAAGGGUGCGUAGGCGGCCUUUUAAGUCAGAUGUGAAAGCCCACGGCUUAACCGUGGGAUUGCAUUUGAAACUGGAAGGCUUGAGUAUCGGAGAGGGUAGUGGAAUUCCCAGUGUAGCGGUGAAAUGCGUAGAUAUUGGGAGGAACACCAGUGGCGAAGGCGACUACCUGGACGAAAACUGACGCUGAGGCACGAAAGCUAGGGGAGCAAACA